Molecule: long non-coding RNA, 1224 nt
Organism: Clupea harengus (Atlantic herring)
Lineage: Eukaryota; Metazoa; Chordata; Actinopteri; Clupeiformes; Clupeidae
Source: Ensembl
ACCCAGCCAGCCCGCCAGCCAUCACCCAGCCAUCACCCAGCCACCUGGAUAGCACAGCACAUGUGUCAGUACAACAUGCUUGGCUUUUGUUUUCCUCUCCAUUUUGCCAAUGGGCAUAGCUGAAUAAUUUAUGCCGGAGGAACGUGCUGGAUGUUCCAGCCUGGAACACAGAACUACAUUGUUCAUAUCCUGGAUGGCUAGUGGUGAUGGGUGGGACGAGUGUUCAUCUUCAUCAUCUGUUCGUCUUCGCAGAGCAUUAUACCAUCAGAAGAAAUAUCGGUCUUCGCAGGGCAUUAUACCAUCAGAAGAAAUGUGAAGAUGACACCAAAGCAUCAUCAAGUGCUAUCUAGUUACUAGUUAGAUACUAGUUGCCCUAUAAAAAACAUAUUUCAUAAAGUGGCAAAUUGUUGCAUUGGGUUGCUUUUCAUUAAAUGCGUACAAAACAAGAUGUUAAUAACAAGGUCCACCACAAUAGAGAACUCUGGAUGCCUCUGUGUUGAGGAACUAUAGACCUGUCUCAAAUCUUCUUUUGAUAGCUAAGAUCAUUGAGAAAGGUGUUUACAAUCAACUCAGUUUUUUUUUUAACUCAAGCAGUCAUUUUGACAGGUUUAAAUCCCGCUGUUGACCUCACAAGGCGCAGAUUGAUGCCCAGGCUGGUCAAGGCUGCAGCCCAGGGGCACCACAUGUGCAAGGGCCACAGAUUGGCCUUUCAUUCCAACUCCAGGUACAGAGAGCUUCUUGGGUGGUUAUGCCCUUCAUCUAUGCGCUUCGUCUGUGCUCUUCUCUAUCACCUUCAGAAGCGUGAGGUUGAUAUCUGUGAUAUCUGUGCUCUUCUCUCUCCCCUUCAGAAGCGCGAGGUUGAUAUCUGUGCUCUUCUCUUCAGAAGCGUGAGGUUGAUAUCUGUGCUCUUCCCUAUCACCUUCAGAAGCGUGAGGUUGAUAUCUGUGCUCUUCCCUAUCACCUUCAGAAGCGUGAGGUUGAUAUCUGUGCUCUUCUCUCUCACCUUCAAGAGCGUGAGGUUGAUAUCUGUGCACUGCCUCAAUUUAGUGACAAGUGUACUAAGCUGUAAUACUGUCUAUACAUAUACAGCUGUUUGUAAAUAUCUUUUUGCUUCCAUUUAUAUUCUCUAGUCUUUUUCUUUAUAUUUUUCACUUCUUGGAUUAUGUACCUGGUGGAGGAUAAAUACAUUUACAACUUCUUGUCUCCCUGCUGCCUUUUGUGCCU